GUGAGGAAUAUUGGACAAUGGUCGGAAGACUGAUCCAGCCAUGCCGCGUGCAGGAAGACGGUCCUAUGGAUUGUAAACUGCUUUUGUACGGGAGCAAUAAGUGCCACGUGUGACACGAUGAGAGUACCGUACGAAUAAGCAUCGGCUAACUCCGUGCCAGCAGCCGCGGUAAUACGGAGGAUGCGAGCGUUAUCCGGAUUUAUUGGGUUUAAAGGGUGCGUAGGCGGCUUGACAAGUCAGCGGUGAAAUGCAAGGGCCUAACCCUUGACGUGCCGUUGAAACUGCCGGGCUAGAAUGCGGAUGCUGUGGGAGGAAUGUGUAGUGUAGCGGUGAAAUGCAUAGAUAUUACACAGAACACCGAUUGCGAAGGCAUCUCACAAAUCCGCUAUUGACGCUGAGGCACGAAAGUGCGGGGAUCAAACAGG
RNAcentral lists this ribosomal RNA (425 nucleotides) under uncultured rumen bacterium. RNAcentral describes it as "bacterial SSU rRNA". It matches the Rfam family "Bacterial small subunit ribosomal RNA", at positions 354 to 776 of the family's 1533-position model. The record is from RNAcentral.